CUAAGUUUGAUGGCGACCGGCGCACGGGUGAGUAACACGUAUCCAACCUGCCGAUGACUCGGGGAUAGCCUUUCGAAAGAAAGAUUAAUACCCGAUGGCAUAGUUCUUCCGCAUGGUGGAACUAUUAAAGAAUUUCGGUCAUCGAUGGGGAUGCGUUCCAUUAGGUUGUUGGCGGGGUAACGGCCCACCAAGCCUUCGAUGGAUAGGGGUUCUGAGAGGAAGGUCCCCCACAUUGGAACCGAGACACGGUCCAAACUCCUACGGGAGGCAGCAUG
RNAcentral lists this ribosomal RNA (275 nucleotides) under uncultured bacterium. RNAcentral describes it as "partial 16S ribosomal RNA". It matches the Rfam family "Bacterial small subunit ribosomal RNA", at positions 79 to 353 of the family's 1533-position model. The record is from RNAcentral.